AUGCCAACUCCGAACUGAAACAUACCUUAUCAGUUGUCUCACUACAACCAAUUCCUCACCACAUAGGGCGUGUAAGAAUGCCUCACCAUCAUCCACCAGGACAACCACCGCCUCCUGAUCCUUUUGCUCCUCCACCACCAGGACCACCUCCUCCUGAUCCUUUUGCUCCUCCACCACCAGGUCCGCCACCACCAAGACCACCGCCUCCUGAUCCUUUUGCUCCUCCACCACCACCGGGACCUCGUUCUCCACCUCCACCAGGGCCUCCUCCACAGCCAGGGCCACAUGGUCCUCCCCCGCCACCUUAAUAUCAUCUCACAGGCUCACCUCAAACAGUAUACUAGUUACAGUAUUAUUAGCAUUAUGUAUAAGAAAUAAAGUGCAUGUGUCCAUGUAAGCUUCACGAAUUAUCUAUAUGUACACACAGUAGGAUUAAUGCCUACCUUAUUUAAUUAAUUUAAAGGGUUAAUUGCACUUUACACUCCAAGGCUUUGGAGGUCAUUUGCACAAUAAGCCACUAAAUUUCAAUUUUUGCAUUUUACACCAUGUGAUUUCUUUAGGGGUGUAACAUCUACACACUCCUUUUUACUUCUCCCACAGCUUUUUAGUUUUCGGUCGUCGGAUCGGAUGAAUUGAAGAAGAUCAACGGAUAUAAAUUAACAAGGUGUAUGAGAAGUAAAAAGGAGUGUGUGGAUUGCACACCCCUUUCUGUAUUACACUAAUUUAACCUCUUUAUCAAUUUUACUAUCUAAUUAAACGUUAGGUGUUGAUGUGGCAUAGACUUUCCCCACAUUUUAAGGACUCAUUGACCAUCAAUUUCAGUGUGUAGUACUUUACUCUUCUAUUGUUUCAAUUCUUUUAUAAAACUAAGAGUCAACAAGUCUUUAAAAUGUGAGCCCAAUAUAUACCACAUCAACUCAUAACGCCUAACUAGAAUCUGAUUUCUUUAUGAUUACCAUUCUAAUCCGAAAGCAAAUACUACAAUUAACACAAAACGAAAAUAACGGGUUUCACAUCAGCAAGAUAACUAAUCGGGUUGUUAUCUGAUCAUCCGUUAAGACCCGUUAUUAAUGGGUUCUUAACUGUUUCCACGCAGGUAACCCGUAUUCACCUCUUAAGAAAAAAGUUAGUUUGAUAAUUUUAAACUACUGAAAAAACCUUACUAGCUACUACAAUAGCUAUAGUACUAAAUCUCACAUGAGUAAGAUUAAAAAUUUCCAAUACACGUUAAAAAUACCAAAGCACAUUAAAAAUUUCAUCAAAAUUCAUUUACAAGUGUGCAAAAUGUGAAAAACAAAAAAAACAAAAAAAUCUGCAAACGCUUGUAAUCGCAUCAUGGUCAUUUGAUUUUUUCAAAACCCUACAAGCCCUCAUGAAUAGUGUUUUAAGUGAGUUCAAAAUAAAUAAAAAUUCAUAAUAAUUAAUGUAGAAGUUGAAAAACUGUGAAAAAAAUAUAUAAACACUUGUGCUUGCAUCAUCUACACUUUGACAAUGGUUGCAUCAUCAUUUAGAUUAUUAAAACCCUCAUGAAAUAAUUUUUUUUUUUGUUUGAGUGCAAAAAUAGUAAUGACAAGCUUUACAAUUUUCGUGAAGGAGUUAACUGUAAUACCCCGUAUUU
Molecule: long non-coding RNA, 1618 nt
Filed under: Malus domestica (apple)
Lineage: Eukaryota; Viridiplantae; Streptophyta; Magnoliopsida; Rosales; Rosaceae
Description: long non-coding RNA (MDOM_LNC008735)
Source: RNAcentral